Molecule: non-coding RNA, 880 nt
Organism: Kogia breviceps (pygmy sperm whale)
Lineage: Eukaryota; Metazoa; Chordata; Mammalia; Artiodactyla; Physeteridae
Source: RefSeq, a predicted model, not a curated record
GCAGGUGGACUCCCAACCACUGCGCCACCAGGGAAGCCCCAGAUAUCUUUUUGAUGCCUCUCAUUGUUUCCUUAGGAUGUAUUUUAAGAAAUAGAAUCAUGAAGCUUAGAAGCAUCCACUGAUAGUUAUGCGUCUCCCAAAAGGUUUCAUUCCUUCAUUCUGCCAAUAUUUAUUGAACACUUGCUCUGUGCCGGGCGCUGUUCCGGGUGCUGAGGACGUGGUGGUGAGCUCCCUGGGAAGCAUGGCGUUUCCCAUCCGAGCUUGUGACAGUGGGCCGUGACUGGGGAGGCCACGGCAUCUGCCUUGUGUUGAUCCGGUUACAUCGGAGAUCCUGGAAAGGUGCCACCUGAGAAGCCAGGAAUAGAGGAAGAAAGCAAGACAGAAACGAGGAAAAAUUAUAAGGGUAAAAGCAGAAGUUAAUGAAGCAGAAAUCGAAGAAAUAGCAGACAGUAAAAUCAGAGUCUGACUCUGAAGAGAUGGGUGAAACAAACAUUGGAGAGGGCUGCCGUGUCAUGAAGAGACACACAAAGUGUGAUUUGCCACAGGUUGGGGAGGAGGCGGUGAGGGGUGAGCUCAGAACUGCCCACGUCCCCUGGUUCAGCUCUUCUCAUCUGGGUGGACUCAGGAGGCACCUCCUCCAGGAAGCCCUCUUUGACUCCUCCUUGCUGAGGAUGGUCUUCAAGAGCCUGCCACUGCUGGUGCAGCCCCUUGUACCUGGUCCUUCGGUGGUGCUCACCCGUCGUCUUGCUGUGACCACCAUCUCUGUCCUGUUCAAGCUCUAACAGUAACCUCCUUCGUGGAAGAACUAUGCCUUUUUCCCUGUUGCGUUUUCUGUCUGAGGCCUGGUAUACAGAAGGUGCUCAAUAAAUGAUCAAAGCUC